Molecule: ribosomal RNA, 253 nt
Filed under: uncultured bacterium
Lineage: Bacteria
Description: partial 16S ribosomal RNA
Rfam family: Bacterial small subunit ribosomal RNA
Source: RNAcentral
UACAGAGGUCCCAAGCGUUGUUCGGAUUCAUUGGGCGUAAAGGGUGCGUAGGCGGCGCGGUAAGUCGGGUGUGAAAUCUCGGAGCUUAACUCCGAAACUGCAUUCGAUACUGCCGUGCUUGAGGACUGGAGAGGAGACUGGAAUUUACGGUGUAGCGGUGAAAUGCGUAGAUAUCGGGAAGAACAUCAGUGGCGAAGGCGGCCUGCUGGGCUGUUGCUGACGCUGAGGCGCGACAGCGUGGGGAGCAAACAGG